UACGAAGGGGGCUAGCGUUGCUCGGAAUCACUGGGCGUAAAGGGUGCGUAGGCGGGUCUUUAAGUCAGGGGUGAAAUCCUGGAGCUCAACUCCAGAACUGCCUUUGAUACUGAAGAUCUUGAGUUCGGGAGAGGUGAGUGGAACUGCGAGUGUAGAGGUGAAAUUCGUAGAUAUUCGCAAGAACACCAGUGGCGAAGGCGGCUCACUGGCCCGAUACUGACGCUGAGCUGCGAAAGCUAGGGGAGCAAACAGG
Molecule: ribosomal RNA, 253 nt
Filed under: uncultured bacterium
Lineage: Bacteria
Description: partial 16S ribosomal RNA
Rfam family: Bacterial small subunit ribosomal RNA
Source: RNAcentral